AAUAAACAAACCCGUAAACUGUUUUAUACAGAGACAGCAAAAUCUUGGUUUAUUAAAGGACAGUGUUACUCCAGAUAACACGUAAGUUUCUUCUUGCUUUUCAGAGACCUGCUUUCCCCUCCUCCCGUCUCCCCUCUCUUGCCUUCUUCCUUGCCUCUCACCUGUAAGAUAUUAUUUUAUCCUAUGUUGAAGGGAGGGGGAAAGUCCCCGUUUAUGAAAGUCGCUUUCUUUUUAUUCAUGGACUUGUUUUAAAAUGUAAAUUGCAACAUAGUAAUUUAUUUUUAAUUUGUAGUUGGAUGUCGUGGACCAAACGCCAGAAAGUGUUCCCAAAACCUGACGUUAAAUUGCCUGAAACUUUAAAUUGUGCUUUUUUUCUCAUUAUAAAAAGGGAAACUGUAUUAAUCUUAUUCUAUCCUCUUUUCUUUCUUUUUGUUGAACAUAUUCAUUGUUUGUUUAUUAAUAAAUUACCAUUCAGUUUGAAUGAGACCUAUAUGUCUGGAUACUUUAAUAGAGCUUUAAUUAUUACGAAAAAAGAUUUCAGAGAUAAAACACUAGAAGUUACCUAUUCUCCACCUAAAUCUCUGAAAAAUGGAGAAACCCUCUGACUAGUCCAUGUCAAAUUUUACUAAAAGUCUUUUUGUUUAGAUUUAUUUUCCUGCAGCAUCUUCUGCAAAAUGUACUAUAUAGUCAGCUUGCUUUGAGGCUAGUAAAAAGAUAUUUUUCUAAACAGAUUGGAGUUGGCAUAUAAACAAAUACGUUUUCUCACUAAUGACAGUCCAUGAUUCGGAAAUUUUAAGCCCAUGAAUCAGCCGCGGUCUUACCACGGUGAUGCCUGUGUGCCGAGAGAUGGGACUGUGCGGCCAGAUAUGCACAGAUAAAUAUUUGGCUUGUGUAUUCCAUAUAAAAUUGCAGUGCAUAUUAUACAUCCCUGUGAGCCAGAUGCUGAAUAGAUAUUUUCCUAUUAUUUCAGUCCUUUAUAAAAGGAAAAAUAAACCAGUUUUUAAAUGUAUGUAUAUAAUUCUCCCCCAUUUACAAUCCUUCAUGUAUUACAUAGAAGGAUUGCUUUUUUAAAAAUAUACUGCGGGUUGGAAAGGGAUAUUUAAUCUUUGAGAAACUAUUUUAGAAAAUAUGUUUGUAGAACAAUUAUUUUUGAAAAAGAUUUAAAGCAAUAACAAGAAGGAAGGCGAGAGGAGCAGAACAUUUUGGUCUAGGGUGGUUUCUUUUUAAACCAUUUUUUCUUGUUAAUUUACAGUUAAACCUAGGGGACAAUCCGGAUUGGCCCUCCCCCUUUUGUAAAUAACCCAGGAAAUGUAAUAAAUUCAUUAUCUUAGGGUGAUCUGCCCUGCCAAUCAGACUUUGGGGAGAUGGCGAUUUGAUUACAGACGUUCGGGGGGGUGGGGGGCUUGCAGUUUGUUUUGGAGAUAAUACAGUUUCCUGCUAUCUGCCGCUCCUAUCUAGAGGCAACACUUAAGCAGUAAUUGCUGUUGCUUGUUGUCAAAAUUUGAUCAUUGUUAAAGGAUUGCUGCAAAUAAAUACACUUUAAUUUCAGUC
This 1551-nucleotide long non-coding RNA is filed under the name Homo sapiens (human). Its description in RNAcentral is "non-protein coding lnc-FOXF2-9:1". Lineage: Eukaryota; Metazoa; Chordata; Mammalia; Primates; Hominidae. The record is from RNAcentral.